AAUCUACCUCCGAGUGGGGAAUAACUGAGAGAAAUCCUAGCUAAUACCGCAUAAUACCCACGGGUCAAAGCAGCAAUGCGCUUGGAGAGGAGUUCGCGGCCGAUUAGCUAGUUGGCGGGGUAAUGGCCCACCAAGGCGAUGAUCGGUAUCCGGCCUGAGAGGGCGCACGGACACACUGGAACUGAAACACGGUCCAGACUCCUACGGGAGGCAGCAGUGGGGAAUUUUGCGCAAUGGGGGAAACCCUGACGCAGCAACGCCGCGUGGAG
Molecule: ribosomal RNA, 269 nt
Filed under: uncultured bacterium
Lineage: Bacteria
Description: partial 16S ribosomal RNA
Rfam family: Bacterial small subunit ribosomal RNA
Source: RNAcentral